GGUGGUGUAGCUCAGUGGCAGAGCGCUUGCCUGCCAUGUGCAAGGCCCUGGGUUCCAUCCCAGCACUGCAA
This 71-nucleotide transfer RNA is filed under the name Cavia porcellus (domestic guinea pig). It matches the Rfam family "tRNA". From Rfam's summary of the family: Transfer RNA (tRNA) molecules are approximately 80 nucleotides in length. Their secondary structure includes four short double-helical elements and three loops (D, anti-codon, and T loops). Further hydrogen bonds mediate the characteristic L-shaped molecular structure. tRNAs have two regions of fundamental functional importance: the anti-codon, which is responsible for specific mRNA codon recognition, and the 3' end, to which the tRNAs corresponding amino acid is attached (by aminoacyl-tRNA synthetases). tRNAs cope with the degeneracy of the genetic code in two manners: having more than one tRNA (with a specific anti-codon) for a particular amino acid; and 'wobble' base-pairing, i.e. permitting non-standard base-pairing at the 3rd anti-codon position. The record is from Rfam by way of RNAcentral. Lineage: Eukaryota; Metazoa; Chordata; Mammalia; Rodentia; Caviidae.